GCGCCUGUUGUUCAGUGGUAGAACAGUAGCCUUCCAAGCUACUUGCGUGAGUUCGAUUCUCACCAGGCGCU
RNAcentral lists this transfer RNA (71 nucleotides) under Chlamydiia bacterium. RNAcentral describes it as "tRNA-Gly". It matches the Rfam family "tRNA". From Rfam's summary of the family: Transfer RNA (tRNA) molecules are approximately 80 nucleotides in length. Their secondary structure includes four short double-helical elements and three loops (D, anti-codon, and T loops). The record is from RNAcentral. Lineage: Bacteria; Pseudomonadati; Chlamydiota; Chlamydiia.